This 285-nucleotide transfer-messenger RNA is filed under the name Candidatus Jacksonbacteria bacterium. Its description in RNAcentral is "partial transfer-messenger RNA". It matches the Rfam family "transfer-messenger RNA", at positions 1 to 278 of the family's 374-position model. Rfam says of the family: Bacterial tmRNA, also known as 10Sa RNA or SsrA, is named for its dual tRNA and mRNA-like properties. Its role is to liberate the mRNA from a stalled ribosome. To accomplish this part of the tmRNA is used as a reading frame that ends in a translation stop signal. The record is from RNAcentral. Lineage: Bacteria; Candidatus Jacksoniibacteriota.
GGGGAUGCCAGGCUUUGACAAUGGAAUACAAUUUAUAUGUGCAAAACGAGAGUUAGAGUCUCUCUCAAAACUCUAAAAAGAUAGUUGCAAAAUCUAUCACUAAAGCAAAGGGUCUUAUUUUAAGUCCGUUUGCUCCAGCUUACGCUUUAGCCUAAGCCGGCGUCUCUCCUGCUGAUGUUUGAUAAGCAGGUGUAGGUGUAAUAAAUUCAAACUAGAAAAUGUAAGUUUCUUGGUACAUUUUCAAAAUUAAGAGAAUCGGUGUAUGUUCGUUUUGUUUAUUUUUUA